This 254-nucleotide ribosomal RNA is filed under the name uncultured bacterium. RNAcentral describes it as "partial 16S ribosomal RNA". It matches the Rfam family "Bacterial small subunit ribosomal RNA", at positions 524 to 776 of the family's 1533-position model. The record is from RNAcentral.
UACGAAGGGUGCAAACGUUGCUCGGAAUCAUUGGGCGUAAAGCGCACGUGAGGCGGCUUGCCAAGUCGGACGUGAAAUCCCUCAGCUCAACUGAGGACGUGCAUCCGAAACUGGCGAGCUUGAGUACUGAAGAGGAUCGCGGAAUUCCCGGUGUAGAGGUGAAAUUCGUAGAUAUCGGGAGAACACCAGGUGGCGAAGGCGGCGAUCUGGGCAGAUACUGACGCUGAGGUGCGAAAGCGUGGGGAGCAAACAGG